RNAcentral lists this ribosomal RNA (506 nucleotides) under uncultured bacterium. RNAcentral's name for it is "partial 16S ribosomal RNA". It matches the Rfam family "Bacterial small subunit ribosomal RNA", at positions 30 to 523 of the family's 1533-position model. The record is from RNAcentral.
AUUGAACGCUGGCGGCAGGCCUAACACAUGCAAGUCGGACGGUAGCACAGAGGAGCUUGCUCCUCGGGUGACGAGUGGCGGACGGGUGAGUAAUGUCUGGGGAUCUGCCCGAUAGAGGGGGAUAACCACUGGAAACGGUGGCUAAUACCGCAUAACGUCGCAAGACCAAAGAGGGGGACCUUCGGGCCUCUCACUAUCGGAUGAACCCAGAUGGGAUUAGCUAGUAGUCGGGGUAAUGGCCCACCUAGGCGACGAUCCCUAGCUGGUCUGCGAGGAUGACCAGCCACACUGGAACGGAGCCACGGUCCAGACUCCUACGGGAGGCAGCAGUGGGGAAUAUUGCACAAUGGGCGCAAGCCUGAUGCAGCCAUGCCGCGUGUAUGAAGAAGGCCUUCGGGUUGUAAAGUACUUUCAGCGGGGAGGAAGGCGAUGUGGUUAAUAACCUUGUCGAUUGACGUUACCCGCAGAAGAAGCACCGGCUAACUCCGUGCCAGCCGCCGCGGUAA